This 27-nucleotide ribosomal RNA is filed under the name Trichostomopsis australasiae. Its description in RNAcentral is "Didymodon australasiae partial 26S ribosomal RNA". RNAcentral also lists the same sequence under 3 other names. The record is from RNAcentral. Lineage: Eukaryota; Viridiplantae; Streptophyta; Bryopsida; Pottiales; Pottiaceae.
UAGACCUCUGAUCAGAGAAGACUACCC